Molecule: ribosomal RNA, 232 nt
Filed under: uncultured bacterium
Lineage: Bacteria
Description: partial 16S ribosomal RNA
Rfam family: Bacterial small subunit ribosomal RNA
Source: RNAcentral
CGAACGGGUGAGUAAUACAUCGGAACGUACCCAGUAGUGGGGGAUAGCUCGGCGAAAGCCGGAUUAAUACCGCAUACGACCUACGGGUGAAAGCGGGGGAUCGAAAGACCUCGCGCUAUUGGAGCGGCCGAUGUCGGAUUAGCUUGUUGGUGAGGUAAAAGCUCACCAAGGCGACGAUCCGUAGCUGGUCUGAGAGGACGACCAGCCACACUGGGACUGAGAUACGGCCCAG